UAGAGUUUGAUCCUGGCUCAGAACGAACGCUGGCGGCAGGCUUAGCACAUGCAAGUCGAGCGCCCCGCAAGGGGAGCGGCAGACGGGUGAGUAACGCGUGGGAAUCUACCUAGCUCUACGGAAUAGCUCCGGGAAACUGGAAUUAAUACCGUAUGCGUCCUUCGGGAGAAAGAUUUAUCGGAGUUAGAUGAGCCCGCGUUGGAUUAGCUAGUUGGUGGGGUAAUGGCCUACCAAGGCGACGAUCCAUAGCUGGUCUGAGAGGAUGAUCAGCCACACUGGGACUGAGACACGGCCCAGACUCCUACGGGAGGCAGCAGUGGGGAAUAUUGGACAAUGGGCGCAAGCCUGAUCCAGCCACGCCGCGUGAGUGAUGAAGGCCUUCGGGUCGUAAAGCUCUGUGGGGAGGGACGAACCGCCGCUGGUGAAUAUCCAGCGGCAUGACGGUACCUCCUUAGCAAGCACCGGCUAACUUCGUGCCAGCAGCCCCGGUCAA
This 493-nucleotide ribosomal RNA is filed under the name uncultured bacterium. RNAcentral's name for it is "bacterial SSU rRNA". It matches the Rfam family "Bacterial small subunit ribosomal RNA", at positions 1 to 524 of the family's 1533-position model. The record is from RNAcentral.